AAUUCCACGUGUAGCAGUGAAAAUGCGUAGGAGAUGUGGAGAAACACCGAUGGCGAAGGCAGCCCCCUGGGUCAAAGAAUUGACGCUCAUGCAACGAAAGCGUGGGGAGCAAACAGGGAUUAGAUACCCUGGUAGUCCAACGCCCUAAAACGAUGUCUACUAGUUGUCGGGUUUUUAAUUUAACUUGGUAACGCAGCUAACGCGUGAAGUAGACCCGCCUGGGGAGUACGGUCGCAAGAUUAAAACUCAAAGGAAUUGACGGGGACCCGCACAAGCGGUGGAUGAUGUGGAUUAAUUCGAUGCAACGCGAAAAACCUUACCUACCCUUGACAUGGAAGGAAUCCUGAAGAGAUCCGGGAGUGCCCGAAAGGGAACCUUCACACAGGUGCUGCAUGGCUGUCGUCAGCUCGUGUCGUGAGAUGUUGGGUUAAGUCCCGCAACGAGCGCAACCCUUGUCAUUAGUUGCUACGCAAGAGCACUCUAAUGAGACUGCCGGUGACAAACCGGAGGAAGGUGGGGAUGACGUCAAGUCCUCAUGGCCCUUAUGGGUAGGGCUUCACACGUCAUACAAUGGUACAUACUUAGGGCCUC
Molecule: ribosomal RNA, 591 nt
Filed under: Massilia varians
Lineage: Bacteria; Pseudomonadati; Pseudomonadota; Betaproteobacteria; Burkholderiales; Oxalobacteraceae
Description: bacterial SSU rRNA
Rfam family: Bacterial small subunit ribosomal RNA
Source: RNAcentral